Molecule: ribosomal RNA, 430 nt
Filed under: uncultured bacterium
Lineage: Bacteria
Also listed under: 1 other name
Description: bacterial SSU rRNA
Rfam family: Bacterial small subunit ribosomal RNA
Source: RNAcentral
UGGGGAAUCUUCCGCAAUGGGCGAAAGCCUGACGGAGCAACGCCGCGUGAGUGAAGACGGCCUUCGGGUUGUAAAGCUCUGUUAUACGGGACGAAUAGUCUUGUGGUUAAUACCCAUGAGAAGUGACGGUACCGUAAGAGAAAGCCACGGCUAACUACGUGCCAGCAGCCGCGGUAAUACGUAGGUGGCAAGCGUUGUCCGGAAUUAUUGGGCGUAAAGGGCGCGCAGGCGGCUUCUUAAGUCUGUCUUAAAAGUGCGGGGCUUAACCCCGUGAUGGGAUGGAAACUGGGAAGCUCAGAGUAUCGGAGAGGAAAGCGGAAUUCCUAGUGUAGCGGUGAAAUGCGUAGAUAUUAGGAGGAACACCAGUGGCGAAAGCGGCUUUCUGGACGAAAACUGACGCUGAGGCGCGAAAGCCAGGGGAGCGAACGGG